This 469-nucleotide ribosomal RNA is filed under the name uncultured bacterium. RNAcentral's name for it is "partial 16S ribosomal RNA". It matches the Rfam family "Bacterial small subunit ribosomal RNA", at positions 27 to 507 of the family's 1533-position model. The record is from RNAcentral.
GGACGAACGCUGGCGGCGUGCUUAACACAUGCAAGUCGAACGGAAAGGCCCUGCUUUUGUGGGGUGCUCGAGUGGCGAACGGGUGAGUAACACGUGAGUAACCUGCCCUUGACUUUGGGAUAACUUCAGGAAACUGGGGCUAAUACCGGAUAGGAGCUCCUGCUGCAUGGUGGGGGUUGGAAAGUUUCGGCGGUUGGGGAUGGACUCGCGGCUUAUCAGCUUGGUGGUGGGGUAGUGGCUUACCAAGGCUUUGACGGGUAGCCGGCCUGAGAGGGUGACCGGCCACAUUGGGACUGAGAUACGGCCCAGACUCCUACGGGAGGCAGCAGUGGGGAAUAUUGCAUAAUGGGCGGAAGCCUGAUGCAGCAACGCCGCGUGCGGGAUGACGGCCUUCGGGUUGUAAACCGCUUUCGCCUGUGACGAAGCGUGAGUGACGGUAAUGGGUAAAGAAGCACCGGCUAACUACGUG